AACAUGCAGCUACUUUCUACUAGAAGCAUAAUACCAAGGCCUGCAGUGGGGGAUAGAGCUUCCCAGGUGGCUCUGCAGUAAAGAAUCUGCCUGUCUAGCAGGAGAUAUAGAUUCAGUCCCUGGGUCAGGAAGAUCCUCUGGAGAAGGAAAUGGCAAGGUGAUUUUAUGCAGAAGUUCUCAACUGUUGAUCCCUUCUAGAGGAGCCCUUCUGCAAGAGGAUUCCAGGAGGAGCAUCACAAUUUUCACAUGCCCUACUAACUGAAGGAAUUGGAAACUCCAGCCAGAAUUCAUUCCCUGGGCACUGCCAUUCCUGGUGGCCAGAGAGACUGUUUGGUGACAUCGCCCUCCUGUGGCAACACUUGUAACUGUUCAGCAGGGCCUGGGUUCACUCUUCUUCCCAUUGUUUGUCUCUGUCUCUUUUUUCUCAUUGUGUCUUUAAUAAUCGUUCCAAAGUCAGCUCUGAACCUUGCCUGGCAGAGCGUCCCAUGGAGUUGGCCUCCCUUUCAGCCACUGACUGGCGGGGUGUGGGGCUGCCCUUUGAAAGCUCCCUUGAAUUAGUAACAAUG
This is a long non-coding RNA of Bos taurus (domestic cattle), 566 nucleotides long. Lineage: Eukaryota; Metazoa; Chordata; Mammalia; Artiodactyla; Bovidae. The record is from Ensembl.